RNAcentral lists this long non-coding RNA (1106 nucleotides) under Strigops habroptila (Kakapo). RNAcentral describes it as "lncRNA (ENSSHBG00005008161.1)". Lineage: Eukaryota; Metazoa; Chordata; Aves; Psittaciformes; Psittacidae. The record is from RNAcentral.
UUUUGAAGAUUUAAAAGCUUUUAAUUCCAAUGCUCACUAAAAGCCACAAUGCACUUGUAAUUUCCAACCAUGCUUGCUUAAUGAAUUUGAACAACAAAUAUUUUAAACCACAAUAAUAUAUUGGCUUUACAUAAAAUUUAAUUUACAGUAUGGUUAUUUACUUUGUGCCACUAUAUUGUUAAUACUUAGCUGGACAGAAUUUGCUUGAGGUGAUAAGAAUUUCCUUCACUGUGAUGUAACUCCAAUGAAUCUUGCAGUUAAUUUGUCCCUAGACACUUAGUGAGAUGCAGUUUUGUUUAUUUACUUUACUAAAGAAGACAACCUAAUUUCUUUUAAUGCUUUUAAUAUAAUGAAAUUGAACUGUUUUUAAAAUACUUUGCGUAAAGUAAAAAUUAUUUUCUCGUUACUGUUUUUGAGAUGAGAGGAGAAAUAAAGGGAAAAAGUUGACUGAAACAAUUUGACAAAUUCAAGAUGAAUUUGUGAAAUGUGAUCAAUUCAAAUCUGUAUUUUGAUCAUUUCUUUUAAAUUGAUUAUUUGGCCAUCAAAAUCCAGUUCUACUUCCCAGAUGCUCUACUUAUUUCCUACCUUCUGAUCCAUUAAAAGAACAUUUAACAUGUUCUCAUUACCCACAUUUUGUGAAAUCCCUAAGAUUACAUUAGUGUUACAUUAGUUCUUUUUUCCUUCUAGGUGAAUUUACUAAGCUCCAGCUCAAAAUGUAUCAUCUUUCCCUCCUUUCUGUUCCUAAGAAGCAUAAUAAGAUAUGCUUGAAGUAAAUAGCUGGCCUAGUAUAUAUAUAUUCCACCCCCACCCCCCCGAAUCCGUGAAAAUCCAUCAAUGUGGGAAAUACUUUACACAUGAAAGAGAAAUAGCAAAUGUCUUUCAAAAUAUAGAAUAAAAAACCUCUGCAACAAACACUAUGGAAUCCAUAAGUGUUCUGCCCACUUAGUGCAGCAUCUGUAACUAGUCACAGCCAGUAACUGUUUCAGUAGAAGAUAGAACACUAUGUACUAGUUAUUUAUAGAAUAUUUUUUCCUCAAGUAACAUUCCCUCCUAUUUUCCUAAUACUAUAGGUUAGUUUGUGACUAGAGGGGAUUUUCUUUUAACUC